This 600-nucleotide ribosomal RNA is filed under the name uncultured Alphaproteobacteria bacterium. RNAcentral describes it as "bacterial SSU rRNA". It matches the Rfam family "Bacterial small subunit ribosomal RNA", at positions 54 to 691 of the family's 1533-position model. Lineage: Bacteria; Pseudomonadati; Pseudomonadota; Alphaproteobacteria. The record is from RNAcentral.
CAUGCAAGUCGAGCGAGAAGCUAACUUCGGUUAGUGGACAGCGGCGCACGGGUGAGUAACGCGUGGGAAUUUACCUUUCGGCGGGGGACAACAGUUGGAAACGACUGCUAAUACCGCAUACGCCCUACGGGGGAAAGAUUUAUCACCGAAAGAUAGGCCCGCGUUAGAUUAGGUAGUUGGUAGGGUCAAAGCCUACCAAGCCGACGAUCUAUAGCUGGUUUGAGAGAACGAUCAGCCACACUGGAACUGAGACACGGUCCAGACUCCUACGGGAGGCAGCAGUGGGGAAUCUUGCACAAUGGGCGAAAGCCUGAUGCAGCCAUGCCGUGUGAGUGAGAAGGCCUUCGGGUUGUAAAACUCUUUUAGAUGUGAAGAUGAUGACGGUAACAUCAGAAAAAGCACCGGCUAACUUCGUGCCAGCAGCCGCGGUAAUACGAAGGGUGCUAGCGUUGUUCGGAAUUACUGGGCGUAAAGAGCGUGUAGGCGGCUUAGCAAGUUAGAGGUGAAAUCCCAGGGCUCAACCCUGGAACUGCCUUUGAUACUGCUAGGCUUGAGAUCGUGAGGGGAUAGCGGAAUACCCAGUGUAGAGGUGAAAUUCGU